CCUACGGGAGGCAGCAGUGGGGAAUAUUGGACAAUGGGGGGAACCCUGAUCCAGCGACGCCGCGUGAGUGAAGAAGUCUUUCGGUAUGUUAAGCUCUAUCAGCAGGGAAGAAAAUGACGGUCCCUGACUAAGAAGCCCCGGCUUACUACGUGCCAGCAGCCGCGGUACUACCGAGGGGGCAAGCGUUAUCCGGAUUUACGGGGUGUAAAGGGAUCGUAUACGGUGCAUCAAAUCCGAUGUGAAAGGUCUGGGGCCAACCCCGGGACUGCAGUGGAAACUGUUGAACUGGAGUACGGGAGAGGUAAGCGGAAUGCGUAGUGUAGCGGUGAAAUGCAUAGAUAUUAGGAGGAACACCGGUGGCGAAGGCAGCUUACUGGACUGUAACUGACGUUGAGGCUCGAAAGCGUGGGGAGCGAACAGGAUUAGAUACCCUAGUAGUC
Molecule: ribosomal RNA, 440 nt
Filed under: uncultured bacterium
Lineage: Bacteria
Description: partial 16S ribosomal RNA
Rfam family: Bacterial small subunit ribosomal RNA
Source: RNAcentral